This 465-nucleotide ribosomal RNA is filed under the name Vreelandella stevensii. Its description in RNAcentral is "partial 16S ribosomal RNA". It matches the Rfam family "Bacterial small subunit ribosomal RNA", at positions 338 to 795 of the family's 1533-position model. The record is from RNAcentral. Lineage: Bacteria; Pseudomonadati; Pseudomonadota; Gammaproteobacteria; Oceanospirillales; Halomonadaceae.
CCUACGGGGUGCAGCAGUGGGGAAUAUUGGACAAUGGGCGAAAGCCUGAUCCAGCCAUGCCGCGUGUGUGAAGAAGGCCUUCGGGUUGUAAAGCACUUUCAGUGGGGAAGAAAGCCUUGGGGCUAAUACCCUCGAGGAAGGACAUCACCCACAGAAGAAGCACCGGCUAACUCCGUGCCAGCAGCCGCGGUAAUACGGAGGGUGCGAGCGUUAAUCGGAAUUACUGGGCGUAAAGCGCGCGUAGGCGGUCUGAUAAGCCGGUUGUGAAAGCCCCGGGCUCAACCUGGGAACGGCAUCCGGAACUGUCAGGCUAGAGUGCAGGAGAGGAAGGUAGAAUUCCCGGUGUAGCGGUGAAAUGCGUAGAGAUCGGGGGGAAUACCAGUGGCGAAGGCGGCCUUCUGGACUGACACUGACGCUGAGGUGCGAAAGCGUGGGUAGCAAACAGGAUUAGAUACCCCAGUAGUC